CUUCUUCUUGCGCUUGGUUGGCAACGCUGUUUUCAUGUGGUUAGCAACAGCACGACUAACGGAUAAUCGAACCAUACUUCGCAACACUUUUUUCGUCAGUGCGCAGUUUUUUUUUUUCGAGUGUAAGUGAAGUGCACAGUGUUUAUUUAAAAAACCAAAAAACUAUUGAAAAAAUUGUCAUUGCAACCAUUUGCAAUUAAAUAAAUGUGUAUAAGUGUGUGUAGUGCAUCGUGUUCGGUCGGGUCGUGUUUAUCGUGUCGUCGCGGCAAGCGAAAACAGCAAAAACAACGAAAAUUUCUAGCGCCGGUGCAACAAGUGCCGUUAAUUGCAUUUUUAUACCGAAUGAAAAUUCCGAAACAGGCAAAAGGCAAAGGCAAACAACUUCAUUGCGUGUCAUGGCAAGUUAUUGGCCUAGGACCUCCAACUUGGCAAUAUUUGGCAACCGCAGCAACAGCAACAACAAACUAAAUUUAUGGGCAAGCGAUAAGCGCCGGCAAACGAGAAGCAGCGAAGCGAUCGGGGCACUGCCCAAAAUUGGACAUGGAACGUGCGUCGCGCGCUUAAAGUAGAAUUUAGUAGCUGUCAAAGCCAUCAGCUGGUGCCGGGCAACACCUACAGCAGGAGCAGCAGCAUCAGCACGCAAGUGUCCCCGCAUAAUCGCAGCACAUAGCUUAAAUUCUUUUGCAUGUCAGGCGCAUUUGUGUGGGGCUCCCGUUACUCUGCAGCGUUGUGUGUGUUGGCCAAUCGCGCUAUGUAUUUAUGCGGUGCAUACAUUGUUAGUUAUGCAACAACAGCAACAACAACAGCAACAACAACAGCAACAAACAGCUAACAGCUGGAGUCCACUUAUGCAGCAUGACAACUGCAACAUCGAAGACGACAACAACGACAACGUCGACAACAGCUACAACAUCAACAGCUAUAGCUAUAGCUACAGCUACAGCUAAAGCAACUGCAACAUGGAGGACAAUCAUUGGCGGGCAUCAAUGGCAGGCCUACAUUUCAAUGUCAGCCAAGUGCCCAGCGCUACCAAUCAAGUUGUUAACUAUGCAAAGCAAUAAAUUGCAACGGCCAGCAACAGCAGCGAGCAGCAAGCAGCAACAAUUGUUAUGAACUGAACUUUAAAUAACAAUCAGCCAAGUGCCGUUAAAUGAAUGCGACAUUGUGUGCCGCGGCAGUGAAGCUCUGAAGCUCUGAAGCCACGGCAAGCCAAGCCAAGCGAAGCCAAAUAAACUUAGCUCAGCCCAGCAGAUUGCCUAUCAAAUGGAUCGAGUCUGUACAACAUUUUAUUGAAUUCAUUGUGAUUUGUGCGAAAACUUCUUGGCGUUGCAUUUUUCCGCCCUCUUCUCGCUGGGCAAGAAGCGUUUACCAAAUGGAAUUGUUGUCUUUGUUCUGUUCUGUUAUGUUGUUGUGGGAGCUGGAAUGCCUCUGCCUCUUCGUCUUCGUCUGUUCCCCCUCUGGGUUCCAUUCAACCAAUUCAGCUGAUGUUAUCAAGGCCUGGCCUCCGGCAGAAGCUUUCCUCAGUGUUUGCUGUGCUCUCUGCCAAGGUAGCAAUUUCAAUAUCAAAAUUCGCCUGGCCUUUGGUCCGCUGCUGAGACCAGAGAACAUAGAACAGUGAACCACAGAGCCGCCAUGAAACCG
Molecule: RNA transcript, 1641 nt
Organism: Drosophila sulfurigaster albostrigata
Lineage: Eukaryota; Metazoa; Arthropoda; Insecta; Diptera; Drosophilidae
Exons: 4
Source: RefSeq, a predicted model, not a curated record